CCAGAGGGUCGGGCGAUCGCCGCCGCGCAAGCGGGGGAGGAAAGUCCGGGCUCCACGGAAACCACGGUGCCGGAUAACGUCCGGCGGCUCCGGGAAGCCGGAGCAAGGGAAAGUGCCACAGAGAGAAGACCGCCAAAGGCCUCGGCCCGGCGAAAGGUGAAAGGGUGCGGUAAGAGCGCACCGCGCGGACGGCAACGGACGCGGCACGGCAAACCCCACCGGGAGCAAGGUCGAAUAGGGAUGGCACGGAUUUAUCCAGGGCUGGUUCCGGCCCCGCCGUCCGGGUUGACUGCUUGAGCGUCCGGGCAACCGGCCGCCUAGAGGAAUGAUCGCCCAUCCCCCGUCAAAAGGGGUGGACAGAACCCGGCUUACAGACCCUCUGGCAUU
RNAcentral lists this RNase P RNA (387 nucleotides) under Sphingopyxis sp. HIX. RNAcentral describes it as "bacterial RNase P". It matches the Rfam family "Bacterial RNase P class A". From Rfam's summary of the family: Ribonuclease P (RNase P) is a ubiquitous endoribonuclease, found in archaea, bacteria and eukarya as well as chloroplasts and mitochondria. Lineage: Bacteria; Pseudomonadati; Pseudomonadota; Alphaproteobacteria; Sphingomonadales; Sphingopyxidaceae. RNAcentral also lists the same sequence under 1 other name. The record is from RNAcentral.